Long non-coding RNA from Bactrocera tryoni, 311 nucleotides. RefSeq lists it as uncharacterized. The record is from RefSeq and is a predicted model, not a curated record. NCBI's taxonomy places the organism in Eukaryota, Metazoa, Arthropoda, Insecta, Diptera, Tephritidae. The transcript has 3 exons.
UCUGUGUGCGGUUUGUGUGGUGCGUGAAAAAUUUUCCCGUUUUGUGUUGGUGGAUAGCGGAAACAUGAAAACUUGUUCAAUCUGAUUGUUAAUUAAUGGAAAAAGUAAAUAAAAGAGCUAUUAUAAGUAAAUCUAAGCGAAAAGUUUAAUACUAUUUCUUAGUAUUAAAUGACAAAUAAAUUUGUUUCUAUGCUUAGUAAACAUUUUCACUAUAAAGAGGAAAGUUUUUAAUGCUCUCGGUUUUGUGUAAGCGAGCAGAAUUCAGUGUUGUGGAUUUGAGUUUUACAACAAUCGGUUAAUAAAAAGGUAAG